ACAGCCCCGUACACAAAAAUGCACAUACUGUGAGCUCGAUGAGUAGGGCGGGACACGUGGUAUCCUGUCUGAAUAUGGGGGGACCAUCCUCCAAGGCUAAAUACUCCUGACUGACCGAUAGUGAACCAGUACCGUGAGGGAAAGGCGAAAAGAACCCCGGCGAGGGGAGUGAAAAAGAACCUGAAACCGUGUACGUACAAGCAGUGGGAGCACAGAGCAAUCUGUGUGACUGCGUACCUUUUGUAUAAUGGGUCAGCGACUUAUAUUCUGUAGCAAGGUUAACCGAAUAGGGGAGCCGAAGGGAAACCGAGUCUUAACUGGGCGUUAAGUUGCAGGGUAUAGACCCGAAACCCGGUGAUCUAGCCAUGGGCAGGUUGAAGGUUGGGUAACACUAACUGGAGGACCGAACCGACUAAUGUUGAAAAAUUAGCGGAUGACUUGUGGCUGGGGGUGAAAGGCCAAUCAAACCGGGAGAUAGCUGGUUCUCCCCGAAAGCUAUUUAGGUAGCGCCUCGUGAAUUCAUCUCCGGGGGUAGAGCACUGUUUCGGCAAGGGGGUCAUCCCGACUUACCAACCCGAUGCAAACUGCGAAUACCGGAGAAUGUUAUCACGGGAGACACACGGCGGGUGCUAACGUCCGUCGUGAAGAGGGAAACAACCCAGACCGCCAGCUAAGGUCCCAAAGUCAUGGUUAAGUGGGAAACGAUGUGGGAAGGCCCAGACAGCCAGGAUGUUGGCUUAGAAGCAGCCAUCAUUUAAAGAAAGCGUAAUAGCUCACUGGUCGAGUCGGCCUGCGCGGAAGAUGUAACGGGGCUAAACCAUGCAC
RNAcentral lists this ribosomal RNA (825 nucleotides) under Escherichia coli. RNAcentral describes it as "partial 23S ribosomal RNA". It matches the Rfam family "Bacterial large subunit ribosomal RNA", at positions 367 to 1194 of the family's 2925-position model. Lineage: Bacteria; Pseudomonadati; Pseudomonadota; Gammaproteobacteria; Enterobacterales; Enterobacteriaceae. The record is from RNAcentral.